Long non-coding RNA from Rhinolophus ferrumequinum (greater horseshoe bat), 681 nucleotides. RefSeq lists it as uncharacterized. The record is from RefSeq and is a predicted model, not a curated record. Lineage: Eukaryota; Metazoa; Chordata; Mammalia; Chiroptera; Rhinolophidae. The transcript is spliced from 3 exons.
CAUAGUCCAGGCUACCUCGUUGGGAGAGAGCACUGAGAAGAAGACAAUAUGGAGUGGUGGGGACUGUGGAAAACUGGAGUGAAGCCAUUCAGAUUAACCAAAUUUACACUCACUGAAGUUGCUUAUUUUUGCCCUGAGUUCUGUGAUGGCCCCUGCUCUGUCCCAGGUGAAUCUGAAGCCAGAGAAACCUGAGGAGGUGGCGCCAGCCUCUUAGACUGAACACCUAAAUCGGGCAGGCGAAAACAUGCCUGGGCCUGAGUCAGCUGGAGGAACGGAGGAGGGUCAUCCACGCUCCUUCCCAAAUCUCUGCAUCAUGGAAUGGGGCUGACCACGUGGAUCACGUGAGGACGGUGAGCACAGGGCUGGGGGGACACUUACCUAAGGUCACGAACUGUGACUGUGGUUGAGAAUCCUGCGGCUCUACCCUCCACCCCAGGCUGCCUCUUGGGUGGCAAAUGCUUCUUGAGCACCAGCUGUGUGCAGGAUGCAAUGGCGCUCCAACUUGUCUCUGUACUCUCUGUAUCUUGCUGUCUGCCCUGCACAAUUUGCUCCUUUCUCCUGGAUCCGUAUCACUGGUCUUUCUAGAUAUCACCUGGAUCACUCUCCUGGAGAGCCUUCGCUGAGCGCCUGCUUCCUAAGACACAGCGCCCAUUCAGUGCCUUUUCUGGAAGCUCUAAAGCA